CCUACGGGUGGCAGCAGUGAGGAAUAUUGGUCAAUGGGCGAGAGUCUGAACCAGCCAAGUAGCGUGAAGGAUGACUGCCCUACGGGUUGUAAACUUCUUUUAUAUGGGAAUAAAAUGUUCCACGUGUGGGAUUUUGUAUGUACCCUAUGAAUAAGGAUCGGCUAACUCCGUGCCAGCAGCCGCGGUAAUACGGAGGAUCCGAGCGUUAUCCGGAUUUAUUGGGUUUAAAGGGAGCGUAGGUGGAUCGUUAAGGCAGUUGGGAAAGUUUGCGGCUCAACCGUAAGAUUGCAGUUGAAACUGGCAGUCUUGAGUACAGUAGAGGUGGGCGGAAUUCGUGGUGUAGCGGUGAAAUGCUUAGAUAUCACGAAGAACUCCGAUUGCGAAGGCAGUUCACUGGGCUGCAACUGACACUGAGGCUCGAAAGUGUGGGUAUCAAACAGGAUUAGAUACCCGGGUAGUC
This 460-nucleotide ribosomal RNA is filed under the name uncultured bacterium. RNAcentral's name for it is "partial 16S ribosomal RNA". It matches the Rfam family "Bacterial small subunit ribosomal RNA", at positions 338 to 795 of the family's 1533-position model. The record is from RNAcentral.